UGCAGAAUCCCGUGAACCAUCGAGUCUUUGAGCGCAAGUUGCGCCCGAAGCCGCUAGGCCGAGGGCACGCCUGCCUGGGCGUCA
Molecule: ribosomal RNA, 84 nt
Filed under: Crataegus rivularis
Lineage: Eukaryota; Viridiplantae; Streptophyta; Magnoliopsida; Rosales; Rosaceae
Description: partial 5.8S ribosomal RNA
Rfam family: 5.8S ribosomal RNA
About the family: 5.8S ribosomal RNA (5.8S rRNA) is a component of the large subunit of the eukaryotic ribosome. It is transcribed by RNA polymerase I as part of the 45S precursor that also contains 18S and 28S rRNA. Functionally, it is thought that 5.8S rRNA may be involved in ribosome translocation.
Source: RNAcentral